Molecule: ribosomal RNA, 256 nt
Filed under: uncultured bacterium
Lineage: Bacteria
Description: partial 16S ribosomal RNA
Rfam family: Bacterial small subunit ribosomal RNA
Source: RNAcentral
GUCCACACUGUAAACGAUGCAUACUGGGUGUCCGAAAUUCGUUUCGGGUACCGUAGCUAACGCGUUAAGUAUGCCGCCUGGGGAGUACGUACGCAAGUAUGAAACUCAAAGGAAUUGACGGGGCCCGCACAAGCGGUGGAGCAUGUGGUUUAAUUCGAUGAUACGCGAGGAACCUUACCAAGGCUUAAAUGUAGAUUGACCGGUUUGGAAACAGACUUUUCGCAAGACAAUUUACAAGGUGCUGCAUGGUUGUCGU